This 2616-nucleotide long non-coding RNA is filed under the name Medicago truncatula (barrel medic). RNAcentral describes it as "long non-coding RNA (MTRU_LNC006758)". Lineage: Eukaryota; Viridiplantae; Streptophyta; Magnoliopsida; Fabales; Fabaceae. The record is from RNAcentral.
UAAAAUUAUCUGGUUUGAUUUGGCUCAGUACCCAUUCACACCAUGGGCUUUAGGACAAGUACUGGACACAUUCAAGACCCUUUAUGGCAAUCCACCUAUAUUCAUUCAUGAAAAUGGUAUGCUUACCUCUCGUUCAAGAUUACAUUGAUGGCAAUGAAUCUCUUAUAGGAAAUCGUCAUUGGAUGCUGAUUGAGGUUGAAUAAUAAGUUGCGGCGCUAAGGUUUUCCUGUCAUAGACGGCCAAAUAACAUUUUGACUAGGUUAUUGCAUAUUAUGGUUUUCAUGUAUUUUCCAUCCUCAAUUGUAUGGAAUUGUAAACUUAAGCAUCAAGGGAUUUGACAAUGAUUUGGUGGACCAUUCAUAACGCUUGUAAUUAUCGUUUUUAAACAAAUGUUGCAUAAGAUGAGUUCCAAUUGUUUGAAUUGUUAGGCCAACGGACACUAAGCAAUGCAUCACUCCAUGAUGAAUCAAGGUUGAAAUACUUGCAUGGAUACAUUGGUGCCGUGCUUGAUUCCUUAAGGUAUGUGAUUGCUACUCCAUACUAUUAUAUUUUGAAAAAUUAGAUUUAGAAAAUGUCUUUGAAAGAAGUUACUUAUCCAAUAAAUGAAAACAGUCCUAAACACGCAACAUUCAUAAAAGCAAUCACACCUGAAAUAAACACCUAUGCUUUGAUAUGGUAUGUGAUCUUCCGUCUCAUUUUUUUUAUCCUUCAGAAAUGGAUCAAAUAUGAAGGGAUAUUUCGUGUGGUCUUUCAUGGAUGCAUUCGAGUUGUUGGAUGGAUAUGAAUCGAUCUAUGGGCUGUACUAUGUCGAUAGGAAUGAUCCAGAGUUGAGAAGAUACCCAAAGCUAUCCGCAAAAUGGUACAGCCAAUUUUUGAAGGGUACAAGAUCCUCUCUAGUUGGUGCAAUUGAACUCAAUAACGAUUCAUCACUUGUUUCGGUUGGACAUUUACUUCAGUAGUGGGUUCUAUAAUUUGUAUGCAUUAAAGUGUUGUUACAUUUGGUGUUUCUGUUGAGAGACUUUCAGUUUUGUCGGUUAGCUGGUUAGUGGUUUAGAUGUUUAACAAAUCUGUUUGCAUGAUCAUUAUUUAGUUGAUCUAUCUAAAACCACUAUUCCAUCUGUGUAUGCAAUCAUCAUAAAGUGAGUGAUCUCACAUUAACAAUGGUAUCUAGUUCUUUGAUUUGGGACACGUGCAUACGAGAAUGUGAGGUUGUUUGCGAAAUCUGAGGUAGUCAUGACUAACUCUAAUGGUUCUUCGUUGGCCAACCUGUCUUUUCUUUAUGGCAAAAACUUAUAAUAGAGAAGUGGUUCCAGAUGCAAGUCAUCUUUGGUUUCUGGGAUGUGUUUGAAAUUUUGCAAGGCUCUCUUAUUGAUUCAUCUAUGUGUGAACUAUACGAAUUUUAGAAGAUAGCUGCAAAGGAUGCCUGAGACAUGUUAAAAAAUUCUUAUGUUGUUGCAAAGGUUGCCAAAGUAAGACUAUAGUUCAUGGACAAUAAAUAUUAACCAGAACUGUACGUCUUGUUUUGCUCAAAAACCACAAAGGAGCUGAUCAGCAGACAAAUGUGGCUUGCCUCUCUUAAAUUUCCUUGUGUUUUAUUAGAACUAAGAGAGAGAUUAGCACCAAAACGUGUCUCACUCUAAAUAUGUAUUUGCUUAUAUUUCAGGCUGGAUAGAGUAUUAUCUUUUCCAUUCAAUUUGUUUUAUUCAGCCAUUAACAAAAUUAUUUUUCAAACAAAAUAAACAAGAGAAAGCUAUUGCCAUUUUCAUAAAGUAUAUCAAGGCAGAAACAGUAAUUUUUCAGGAAAANNNNNNNNNNNNNNNNNNNNNNNNNNNNNNNNNNNNNNNNNNNNNNNNNNNNNNNNNNNNNNNNNNNNNNNNNNNNNNNNNNNNNNNNNNNNNNNNNNNNAAGCUUGCUGUACUAAUUGCAUUUUUUUUCAUAUGAUUCUGUUGUUUUCAACUAGUUGAACUCUUUACAUCAUUUAGUAUCUGACUCCCCUUUUCAUCACUUGUUGAAUAACCAUGUGCAUCACUUGUUGAAUAAUUGGUGGAGUAAAAUGAACUAUUUCUUUGUUUUCUGUGGUUUUGCAGGUUUAGAGGAAGUACUUGGAGAGAAUGAGGUAACGGUUAAAAAACUAAUUAAAAUUAUCAUCUUAAUUGAUUUGUUCAAUCACAGAUUACUUCACAGUAAAAUUAUCUGGUUUGAUUUGGCUCAGUACCCAUUCACACCAUGGGCUUUAGGACAAGUACUGGACACAUUCAAGACCCUUUAUGGCAAUCCACCUAUAUUCAUUCAUGAAAAUGGUAUGCUUACCUCUCGUUCAAGAUUAAAUUGAUUGCAAUGAAUCUCUUUUAGGAAAUCGUCAUUGGAUGCUGAUUGAGGUUGAAUAAUAAGUUGCGGCGCUAAGGUUUUCCUGUCAUAGACGGCCAAAUAACAUUUUGACUAGGUUAUUGCAUAUUAUGGUUUUCAUGUAUUUUCCAUCCUCAAUUGUAUGGAAUUGUAAACUUAAGCAUCAAGGGAUUUGACAAUGAUUUGGUGGACCAUUCAUAACGCUUGUAAUUAUCGUUUUUAAACAAAUGUUGCAUAAGAUGAGUUCCAAUUGUUUGAAUUGUUAGGCCA